GUCGAACGGAAAGGCCCUGCUUGCAGGGUACUCGAGUGGCGAACGGGUGAGUAACACGUGGGUGAUCUGCCCUGCACUUCGGGAUAAGCCUGGGAAACUGGGUCUAAUACCGGAUAGGAGCCAUUUUUAGUGUGAUGGUUGGAAAGUUUUUUCGGUGUAGGAUGAGCUCGCGGCCUAUCAGCUUGUUGGUGGGGUAAUGGCCUACCAAGGCGGCGACGGGUAGCCGGCCUGAGAGGGUGGACGGCCACAUUGGGACUGAGAUACGGCCCAGACUCCUACGGGAGGCAGCAGUGGGGAAUAUUGCACAAUGGGCGCAAGCCUGAUGCAGCGACGCCGCGUGGGGGAUGACGGCCUUCGGGUUGUAAACUCCUUUCGCUAGGGACGAAGCUUUUUGUGACGGUACCUAGAUAAGAAGCACCGGCUAACUACGUGCCAGCAGCCGCGGUAAUACGUAGGGUGCGAGCGUUGUCCGGAAUUACUGGGCGUAAAGGGCUCGUAGGUGGUUUGUCGCGUCGUCUGUGAAAUUCCGGGGCUUAACUCCGGGCGUGCAGGCGAUACGGGCAUAACUUGAGUACUGUAGGGGUAACUGGAAUUCCUGGUGUAGCGGUGAAAUGCGCAGAUAUCAGGAGGAACACCGAUGGCGAAGGCAGGUUACUGGGCAGUUACUGACGCUGAGGAGCGAAAGCAUGGG
RNAcentral lists this ribosomal RNA (691 nucleotides) under uncultured Actinomycetales bacterium. RNAcentral's name for it is "bacterial SSU rRNA". It matches the Rfam family "Bacterial small subunit ribosomal RNA", at positions 61 to 765 of the family's 1533-position model. Lineage: Bacteria; Bacillati; Actinomycetota; Actinomycetes; Actinomycetales. The record is from RNAcentral.